GCUCUUUUAAUAUAAUAAAUAUAGAUGACUUCCACUCAUCCAAUCUUAGAAUAAACCUAAGAAAAAGCA
Molecule: transfer RNA, 69 nt
Filed under: Phoenicolacerta kulzeri (common Eurasian lizard)
Lineage: Eukaryota; Metazoa; Chordata; Lepidosauria; Squamata; Lacertidae
Description: tRNA-Gly
Source: RNAcentral